CCGGGCCAACGCGCGGUUAAUGUCCAGGAGAGUGGCCCUCCGCAUGGAGGGUUGACUAGAGAUUUAUCGGUAUGGGAUGAGCUUGCGUCCGAUUAGCUAGUUGGCGGGGCAACGGCCCACCAAGGCGGCGAUCGGUAGCCGGCCUGAGAGGGUGAUCGGCCACAUUGGGACUGAGAUACGGCCCAGACUCCUACGGGAGGCAGCAGUAGGGAAUAUUGCACAGUGGGGGAAACCCUGAUGCAGCAACGCCACGUGUUGGAAGAAGCAUUUCGGUGUGUAAACCACUGUCAUGAGGGAGUAAGGCCCGCCUCCGGGCGGGAUUGAAUGUACCUUGAGAGGAAGCACCGGCAAACUUCGUGCCAGCAGCCGCGGUAAUACGAGGGGUGCAAGCGUUGUUCGGAAUUACUGGGCGUAAAGGGAGCGUAGGCGGAGAUUCAAGCGGAUUGUACAAUCCCGGGGCCCAACCCCGGCUCUGCAGUCCGAACUGGAUCUCUUGGAUAGUUCAGGGGCAGGCGGAAUUCCUGGUGUAGCGGCGGAAUGCGUAGAGAUCAGGAAGAACACCGAUGGCGAAGGCAGCCUGCUGGGGACUUAUCGACGCUGAGGCUCGAAAGUGCGGGUAGCAAACAGGAUUAGAUACCCUGGUAGUCCGCACCGUAAACAAUGCAUACUGGGUGUCCGGGGGUUCCCCCGGGUACCGUAGCCAACGCGUUGAGUAUGCCGCCUGGGGAGUACGUACGCAAGUAUGAAACUCAAAGGAAUUGACGGGGGCCCGCACAAGCGGUGGAGCAUGUGGUUUAAUUCGAAGCAACGCGCAGAACCUUACCAGGGUUUGACAUGGAAUCGCCGCGGCG
This 851-nucleotide ribosomal RNA is filed under the name bacterium enrichment culture. Its description in RNAcentral is "bacterial SSU rRNA". It matches the Rfam family "Bacterial small subunit ribosomal RNA", at positions 147 to 1002 of the family's 1533-position model. The record is from RNAcentral.